RNAcentral lists this non-coding RNA (82 nucleotides) under Roseburia hominis. Its description in RNAcentral is "ZTP sequence". It matches the Rfam family "ZMP/ZTP riboswitch aptamer (pfl RNA motif)". Rfam says of the family: Previously known as pfl RNA. RNAcentral also lists the same sequence under 1 other name. The record is from RNAcentral. Lineage: Bacteria; Bacillati; Bacillota; Clostridia; Lachnospirales; Lachnospiraceae.
AAGAUGUUAUAUGACUGACGGAACAAGUGGAAGAACCACAUGGAGUAUAACGUAUCUAAUGCCGACCGUCUGGGCGAAUGUA